AUUGAACGCUGGCGGCAGGCUUAACACAUGCAAGUCGAACGGUAACAGGAAACAGCUUGCUGUUUCGCUGACGAGUGGCGGACGGGUGAGUAAUGUCUGGGAAACUGCCUGAUGGAGGGGGAUAACUACUAGAAACGGUAGCUAACACCGCAUAACGUCGCAAGACCAAAGAGGGGGACCCUCGGGCCUCUUGCCAUCGGAUGUGCCCAGAUGGGAUUAGCUUGUUGGUGGGGUAACGGCUCACCAUGGCGACGAUCCCUCGCUGGUCUGAGAGGAUGACCAGCCACACUGGAACUGAGACACGGUCCAGACUCCUACGGGAGGCAGCAGUGGGGAAUAUUGCACAAUGGGCGCAAGCCUGAUGCAGCCAUGCCGCGUGUAUGAAGAAGGCCUUCGGGUUGUAAAGUACUUUCAGCGGGGAGGAAGGGAGUAAAGUUAAUACCUUUGCUCAUUGACGUUACCCGCAGAAGAAGCACCGGCUAACUCCGUG
This 490-nucleotide ribosomal RNA is filed under the name uncultured bacterium. RNAcentral describes it as "partial 16S ribosomal RNA". It matches the Rfam family "Bacterial small subunit ribosomal RNA", at positions 30 to 507 of the family's 1533-position model. The record is from RNAcentral.